Heterocephalus glaber (naked mole-rat) is the source of this 1641-nucleotide long non-coding RNA. Lineage: Eukaryota; Metazoa; Chordata; Mammalia; Rodentia; Bathyergidae. The record is from Ensembl.
CCGGAAGUGAGGCUGUGAGGCGGGUAGGCAUUGCCGGAGCUGAGACUCCAAAGUGCCAAGAACCCUGUCAAGUGGUAGUGUGGGAUAUGACCUACCUCGGCUACCAGGGAAGUCAGACAGGAGCCAAGGGGUGCCACUUGGUGUGGCCCUGAAGAAAAUUUUCCAUGGAUGACUGGAACACCCUUCUGUAUUACUCCCUGAAAUCACACUUUGGUUUCUUUCUGAUGCUUGAAACUAUUCUAUGAGCUACAAAGAUGGUAAUAAAUCUUUGCCUCCCACAGUUCAGACCAAGAAUUCACUGCAACAAGAAUCAGUGUCCCAUGAGCAAAAGCUGUCACAAAGCUUGAAAAUGGCCUUGAUGACCACCCUUGGCUCUAUGCCUUCCUUCACACCCCGGCUGAAUAGGGGGACAGCUCCAGCACCUGGGCACAAGAGGAAGCAGCACUUCGGGAGGCCAGGCGCCAGCUCAGGGCAGCCUGGCUGCCACCCAGGCCCCGAGUGCACCUCCUGCAAAAGAGUGUUUUCUUCCUACUUCAAAAAAGGAGCCCAUGUACCAGCUGCCCUGUGGCCACCUCCUGUGCCGCCCUUGCCUGGGUGAGAAGCAGCACUCCCUGCCCAUGACCUGCACAGCCUGCCAGCAGCCCUUCACCAGCCAGGAUGUGCUGCGGGUGCACUUCUGACUGACCAGCCUCAGCUGGAGACAGCCAUCACUGGAAGGAGCCAGUGGGGAGCAGGAUUGGGGUCACAGCACCUCUGCGGUUUGGCCAGAGACAGGCACAGAGCUGCCUGUUCUCUUUCUGGGCUUUGUCACCUCACAGUGCAGCACAGGGGUGGGGGGCAGGCUUACUUCUAUUCAGGUGGCCACAAGAUAAAGCCAUAGACUGGGUAGGGAGGGUUGGGGAGAUAUCCCUGCUCUCCUGUACCUCCCUGCCAUGCCCCUGCCAACACCUGCCCAGGGUGGGCACCCCUCCUGAAGGCAUCCCACAUUGUCUGCACACCCCCUCCCAGCAAAGCCUGCAGAGUGGGGCACAGUGAACUGCUCAGGGUCACCCAGAAGUAAACCACACGGGGCUUGGGGUGCAUGACUCAGCCCCUGCCCCCAGCUGGCAACACCUGUGGCCUUAAUAAAGUGAUGGUUGACGUCCUCCUUGGGGAGCACCUGUGUCAUCAUACUCCUGUCCCCAUUUGUCCAUUAAGUGACUGUCACGGGGCACCCAUGAAAGGACAAAAGCUAGAUGGCGUGUUCAGUCUGCCCUGUGUUGGAGGGCCCCAGGUCAGGGUUUGCAGUAGGCAUCACCGUGGGGGCUGUGUAGCCUCCAUCUGCAAGGUACCUGUUGCAGCUGUCAUGGAGAAAACACCUGUGCAGCAUGUGGCCCAUUUCAGGAAAAAAUUUGUGUUUAUAGGCUGUCUUUGUUUUUUUUUCUAUUCACAAUCUAGCUUUAUGGAGUCCCAAAGGAUAUGUAUUCCUACAGCUUUGCUUACCAUAUCAAAUAGAUUCUAGUCACCUGAAGAUUCAGUGAGGAAAUACACCACGCUAUUCUGUGCACUUCCGGAGCACACUGGGGAGACUCAGCCUGACGUGCUCCUGCUUAACCCCUGAGGUUAAUGGCAAGCCUUGUGGGCAGCCCAUUUCUUGUCCCC